GAUGAAGAACGUAGCGAAAUGCGAUAAGUAAUGUGAAUUGCAGAAUUCAGUGAAUCAUCGAAUCUUUGAACGCACCUUGCACCCUUUGGUAUUCCGAAGGGUAUGCUCGUUUGAGUGUCAUUGUACUCUCACACUUCUAAUUCCUUUCGGGAUUGGGAGCGGUGGACUUGGGUGUUGCUGCUUUAGUUGUGGCUCACCUCAAAUAAGUUAGUGCAACUCUUGGUUGGACAUAGUACGGCGUGAUAAGUGUCUUCGCCGGCGCCUCUGUAAGGAGGGUGGCCGAUCGGGAGCUCUGUGCUUCAAACCGUCUUCGGACAAUCUUUGACAACUUGACCUCAAAUCGAGUAGGACUACCCGCUGAACUUAAACAUAUCAAUAAGCGGAGGA
RNAcentral lists this unclassified non-coding RNA (387 nucleotides) under soil metagenome. Its description in RNAcentral is "partial contains 5.8S ribosomal RNA, internal transcribed spacer 2, and large subunit ribosomal RNA". The stretch from base 1 to 120 matches the Rfam family "5.8S ribosomal RNA", at positions 35 to 154 of the family's 154-position model. The record is from RNAcentral.